CCUACGGGUGGCAGCAGUGGGGAAUAUUGCACAAUGGAGGAAACCCUGAUGCAGCGAAGCCGCGUGAGUGAAGAAGUAAUUCGUUACGUAAAGCUCUAUCAGCAGGGAAGAAAAUGACGGUACAUGAGUAAGAAGGCCCGGCUAACUACGUGCCAGCAGCCGCGGUAAUACUUAGGGGGAAAGCUUUCACCGGUUUUACUGGGUGGAAAGGGAGCGUAGACGGUGCGCCAAGUCUGGGGUGAAAGGCCGCGGCUUAACUGCGGAACUGCUUUGGAAACUGGCGAACUAGAGUGCUGGAGAGGGAAGCGGAAUUCCUAGUGUAGCGGUGAAAUGCGUAGAUAUUAGGAGGAACACCGGUGGCGAAGGCGGCUUACUGGACCGUAACUGACGUUGAGGCUCGAAAGCGUGGGGAGCAAACAGGAUUAGAUACCCCAGUAGUC
This 440-nucleotide ribosomal RNA is filed under the name uncultured bacterium. RNAcentral describes it as "partial 16S ribosomal RNA". It matches the Rfam family "Bacterial small subunit ribosomal RNA", at positions 338 to 795 of the family's 1533-position model. The record is from RNAcentral.